RNAcentral lists this ribosomal RNA (468 nucleotides) under uncultured bacterium. RNAcentral describes it as "partial 16S ribosomal RNA". It matches the Rfam family "Bacterial small subunit ribosomal RNA", at positions 28 to 507 of the family's 1533-position model. The record is from RNAcentral.
GACGAACGCUGGCGGCGUGCUUAACACAUGCAAGUCGAACGGAAAGGCCCUGCUUGUGUGGGGUGCUCGAGUGGCGAACGGGUGAGUAACACGUGAGUAACCUGCCCUUGACUUUGGUAUAACUUCAGGAAACGGGGGCUAAUACCGGAUAGGAGCUCCUGCUGCAUGGGGGUGGUUGGAAAGUUUCGGGGGGUGGGGAUGGACGCGCGGGUUAUCGGCUUGUGGGUGGGGUAGUGGCUUACCAAGGCUUUGACGGGUAGCCGGCCUGGGGGGGUGACCGGCCAAAUUGGGACUGGAAUCCGGCCAAGCCCCCUACGGGAGGCAGAAGGGGGGAAAUUUGCCAAAGGGGGCGAGGCCGGAUGAGGGAACGCCGGGUGCGGGAUGACGGCCUUCGGGUUGUAAACCGCUUUCGCCUGUGCCGAAGCGUGAGUGACGGUAAUGGGUAAAGAAGCACCGGCUAACUACGUG